This is a long non-coding RNA of Thalassophryne amazonica, 3526 nucleotides long. RefSeq lists it as uncharacterized. The transcript has 2 exons. Lineage: Eukaryota; Metazoa; Chordata; Actinopteri; Batrachoidiformes; Batrachoididae. The record is from RefSeq and is a predicted model, not a curated record.
AUAAAGUAGCCUGAAAGGGACAUAAUUACUCCACCUGUACCAUUUUGGAGCAUGACUGGAAGACCCAAGAAAAAAAAAAAGAAAAAUUAGUGGUUGCUUCCGUAUACACCGUCUUCUGGUUGCUUGUGCAGUUUAACAAGUUAGAGACUUUAUUUUUGUAAAAUAUAGGAUCAUACUUAUUGUUUGUCACAAGAGGAGGAAAGGACAAGAUGAAUCCGCAUCACCAAGAAGUGAAAAUGUGAAGGUAAACAAAAUUGUGACCAGUGACGGAGUGAAACAAUCUGUAAUCUCACAUGUCGACAAGACUAAAUCCUACACACUAGCUUUCAAGACUGAUGACCCAUAAUGUGUCAGCAGAGUGAUAAUAAAAUCUACCUUUAUAAUAAAGUCAUGAUAACAGUAGGCUAAGUGGUGUGAUACCCAACCCAGAUAACCAAAACAAGAUGACUUCUGGAAUUCUACAUUUAUGAUUGACAAGUUUGUUAUUAAAAAGUUCAGUCUAAGUCCUGCCUCUGACUGGGCAGACAGCCAACUAUAGAAAAUAAAGGGGUGGCCAAUCAGAUUCCAGCAGUGGUCUGUGCCACCUAAGGCCACCCUCUGGACCUGCCCAUGCGUGGAGCAUGUUCUGUAAUACAAAGGACACUUAUAGUAUUUUUUAAUUUGGAAAUCCAGUAUAAGAAGGCAGUGAAACAUUAUACUCGGGCUGAUGAGAUUCUUUAUGUAGAUGUAUUUCCAUAUCACAAAACACAUCCUGGUCCAAAAUCUCCCAUUUAUCAUUAAGACACACAGAUGUAAAAGUAAAAAACAAAAGUAGUGCCAUUGCACAUUGUCUAAGAAGUCUAAUUUAUGAGACUAAGUAAGAAAUAAUUGGAAAGACAGGCUUUUGUAUGUGUUUAAUUGAACCAAUAUAUCUGAACAUCAUCCUGCCUCAUUUUACCUGCUUCAAACACAAGCCAUAAUGUGUAACAAAAUGUUUUUGUUUUGCCAUAUUAGCAGUUACACUAAAAGAAAUGACACAUCACAUUCUAGAAAUAUAGUUUGUCUUCUAUUUUUCUUUGCACUUUUUAUCUCCCCUCAGCAAUUAUGUCUAAUCAACCGUGUUAUUACAUGACCACUAGAUGGAAGCAUUCCUUCUUUUCCAAACAGUCACCUUCAGUUUAUGGCCAUGUUAAAUUUGGAGAUGACAUCAUCUGAUUAAGAGUUUAACAAUGUUUGAAGUGUUUAGCAUCAAACUUCUUGCUGAAGGAAAAAUGUGGGCAUCUUCUAGCCAGACGAGAGUUUGAACGCAAGAGGCGACUUUUGUUCUGAGCUGCAGGUUAAUAACAAAGAAAAAUAAAACAAAAACACAAGAAUAUGAAAUGAAAUGUUGCAUUCCCAGGUAGUAACCACAACAUUCCUACUUUUAUCAGACUUUACAUUUGUGAUAUUCGGUUUUCUUGGGUGAGGUGGAGGUGCAGCUCUGUAAUGGCAGACUGUGUUAAUCCACUCCUCCACCCAGAUGAACUCUGACAGCAUGGCCAUUUACAACUGCAGGCUGUCCUCCCUCCGAGCAUUCAGGUUUUGUUUUUGUGUGUGUCUGUAUGUGUGCAUGCAGGAGGGAGGGACGAGAGGAAGGCUCAAGGGUAUCUGUGAUCUAAUCAUUACACCAUCUCCUCACCUCAGCGACCCCGCUGCAUCCAUCUCUUUGUCGGCUUCUCUCUGAACCGCUCUGUGUUGCGUCCCCUCUCCCUCUGCUGCUCUCUUCGCCCAUCUGUCUUUCAUCCAAUCUCUGUCGUCUGGCUUCCACUCGGUAUAGUGUCCCUCGCCCCCUGAUGCUCUGCAGGUUGCUGCCGCCACCGCUGCAUCUUGGCCGGAGGAGAAAAUUCACCAUGAUUGAGAGAUGGAGAAAGAAAAACAUGAUUUGUUUUUCCAAAGUAAAGCAAGGACAGGUUCGGUUUUGACAUAAAUUAAUAUCUGAGGAAUUGUAAUCAAGCGGGUCACUCUCACCACUCUUGCAGAGUUAGAGCCUGUGUGUGUGAGUACACACUUUGCAGGUAGAAAUCAGUAUUUGACAGGAUUGAGAGCUUGUUAAUUAGCAGUCACACUAUGAAUUGGCAGUGCUGAAGUGUUCCUAAUGAUGUCACUGGCUAUUGGAGCACAGCCACAGAAGGCGUGCAGAUGUGUUAACACAACAGUCGGUGCACCGCUUCUUUGCAUCCUUUCUUUGCCACUGUGUACUGGUGUGUGCUGUUGGAGGUUAAAAUUUUUAAAAAACAUUUUCCACUUUCCACAGCUGUAACGACAAACCAGAUGUCAAUUUAUCCCCGAAGGUGGUCAAAGAUGGACACCAAGAGACGAGUUCCUUUACUGCAGAGACACCGGGUUUUCUAGCUGAUCAAUACUACUGACUUGUGUGACAUUACAGAGAAGAAUUGAGCUGUAGCGUCACAAGAAGUCGAUUCUUUAAAGCAGGGGCAGCUUGUUCAUAAGGGCGAUUUGGGCGACGCACUGCCAAAUGGGAAAAGGAGGGGGUUUUUUUGGGGUUUUUUUGCUGUCUGACUCUAGUCCUGUUACAGUGGUUAUCAGUGUUCCAGAUUGUUUGAUCUGCCUCUGAAUGUCAUUGUCCAGUCAGGUCACGCCCAUUCUGGUGCGAUUUCAGUCAUCUUUAAGCACAAUCUUUAUGGGUUUCGGUGUGCACAGUACGUUACGUGAUUACAUCUUACGCAGCUGUAAAAAGCGCAGGAUGUGGCGUUCAAAACCCCUGAGAUGCUGAGAGCCUUGGACUUUGGGCUUAAUCAUGGAUUUACCAACUGGGUUUGUUUUUCACUCUGCCAGACGUUUCAACUGGUGAGUGCGUUACGUCACUCAAACUACUUAUUAUUAUCAUUUCUUUUAUUUUAAAGAAUAACACAUUUUUAAAAAUUGCGAUUAAUCACAAUUUGCUCCUUUUUGUUUCGAUGUGACUGAUGUGGUCUGUAGAUAAAAUGAUUUUGAGAGCAAUAACGGGGUUAGAUGUCUGUGCCUUUGAACAUUUUUUGCACAGUUUAAACAACAGAUCAGAGCAACAGAUCAGAGGUAUUUAAUUUUUGUUAAAUAGCGGCAAGAAAAUCAUGCAGCCAAAGCGUAAGGGUUAGUUUGUGUGGUUAAAACAGCCUCAUUAAUGUUUCCUCCUGCUUAACGAGACAUGGAGGUAAAGUACACGUUAAAUACUUUUGGGGAUGCUCCUUUAAUACUCAAUCAUGACACUCACAAUUGGUGUCCUCAGUUCCCAGGCGCUUGUUGGGUGUUGUUGGAGGGAGGGGUGGUGUAGCACGGUGGUGGAUAUGCCACUGUCCCAGCUUUUUUUGGGAUGUGUUGCAGGCAUCCAUUUCGGAAUGGGCAAGUAUUUGCACAAGAGGUGCAAAGUGUUUGUCGGUUUGGGCAUUGGGUGUCUUGUCUUUGUGGUGUAUUCGGUUGAGUGUGGGUUGAGGAGGAUUUGCAAAUCAUUGUAUUGUGUUUUUGAUUGCAUUUUGCAUGGCGUCCCGGCUUCAUUGGAAUUGGGGUUGUA